Non-coding RNA from Arachis ipaensis, 1468 nucleotides. The record is from RefSeq and is a predicted model, not a curated record. Lineage: Eukaryota; Viridiplantae; Streptophyta; Magnoliopsida; Fabales; Fabaceae.
UCGAAAAAACCAUAAAAAUGCCUAACCCCACCCCCCAAACGAGCAAAGGUUGCUGCGCGAGUGUGAGAGCGCCCCCCCAGCCGUCCCUGACCCUAACCCCCCAAAUCCCCAAUCCCUAACCUGCGGCUGCGCUCUCUACUGUUUAGCCUCUACUACCCAGUCGCUCUCGCUCUCUCUUCUCCAAAUCCCCAAAGCACGACGCCACCCACAGCACCACGCCGAAGCCUUCCUCUUCGCGGAGACGCCACCCACAGCACGACGCCGUCGCCCACGCACAGCACCACGUCGUCGCCGUUGAGACGCCACCACCCAACGCCAGCAGUGUUUCUGGGUUCUCCCACUCAGCGCCACUAUCAUCAGUUCAACCCACUCCCAGCACGGCAGCACCUCCGAGUCUCUCAGUCAGCCUUCCUCCCAAGUCAACAUGGAGCCCGAGCCACCGAUUCAGGGAGGAGGAUCUGACACGGAAGUGACAUGGGAGGACGAGCAGAACAUCAAUAAGUUCGGAAGAUUGAACAAUCGCUUUCAUGAGCUCGAGGAUGAGAUCAAAAAUUGCUUCUGAUUGUUGCUAGUUGUUGUUUUCUUGCUGGUUCAGUGUUCAUUGUUUUAAUUGUUGUUCAUUGUUUAGGGAAAUUGCUUCUGAUUGCUAGUUCACUGAUCAUUGUUUAAUUUAUUUGUUGUUCUGUUUUUAAUCUAUUUGUUGUUGUGUUUCUGCUCUUGAAUUAUUAGACCAAAGAAAUUGGAUUGUGAAACUUUAGAGUUGAGCUAGGCAUCACAUGCACUUAUGUUAGAGUAUGGAUAUCUGGAGUUGAUUAAUAUGGUAGCUGAAUUGAUUUGAUGCUGAUCCCAUCUGGUUCCCAAUUUUCCCCCCAAUACCAUUGACAUCCAAAAUAUGAACUAUUAAUGCUUUUGCAGUUGUUCACAGCUUCUAAUGACUAAUCAACUUUUCAUACUGUAAUUAUAGUAGUCACUUCAUUAAAAUUGUAUAAUAUGGGGCUUUUGGUUAAAACAAAAAAAAAAUUGUAAAACUUUGAGAUUGUAAUGGGCACUUCAAUAUUACUUGUAAUCCUAAUUGCUAGAAACAAUUAAUAUGAAUCGAGGCCCUAUUGACAAAGCUAAUUGAAUUUGUAGUCUAUUUGUGUUUCAUUUCAUAUAUGUAUUGUGUUCAAAGUGUACAUGUAAUAUUAUGAGCAGUAGUUUAUUUAUGAAGAGAAGUUACUUAUGUAGCCUUCUUGUUUUAUUAUUAUAGGAGUUGGGAAGUCAUGUCUUCUACUUCAAUUCACUGGCAAGCGCUUUCAACCCGUCCAUGACUUGAAAAUUCAUUUUAUUUUUUCAGUUGUAUUGACUAUUAAACUUUUAAACUUCUUUAAUUGUCGUAUUUGAAUUUCUUUUGUUAUUAAAUUUUAUUAGAUCAAGACUUUGUUAGCUAUUGUUAAUUUGUGUUUGUCGAUUUCAAUAUUAUGACUUU